RNAcentral lists this ribosomal RNA (468 nucleotides) under uncultured bacterium. RNAcentral describes it as "partial 16S ribosomal RNA". It matches the Rfam family "Bacterial small subunit ribosomal RNA", at positions 28 to 507 of the family's 1533-position model. The record is from RNAcentral.
GACGAACGCUGGCGGCGUGCUUAACACAUGCAAGUCGAACGGAAAGGCCCUGCUUUUGUGGGGUGCUCGAGUGGCGAACGGGUGAGUAACACGUGAGUAACCUGCCCUUGACUUUGGGAUAACUUCAGGAAACUGGGGCUAAUACCGGAUAGGAGCUCCUGCUGCAUGGUGGGGGUUGGAAAGUUUCGGCGGUCGGGGAUGGACUCGCGGCUUAUCAGCUUGUUGGUGGGGUGGUGGCUUACCAAGGCUUUGACGGGUAGCCGGCCUGAGAGGGUGACCGGCCACAUUGGGACUGAGAUACGGCCCAGACUCCUACGGGAGGCAGCAGUGGGGAAUAUUGCACAAUGGGCGGAAGCCUGAUGCAGCAACGCCGCGUGCGGGAUGACGGCCUUCGGGUUGUAAACCGCUUUCGCCUGUGACGAAGCGUGAGUGACGGUAAUGGGUAAAGAAGCACCGGCUAACUACGUG